CUUGUACUCCCUCCGUUCAGAAAUACUUGUCCUAGAAAUGGUUGUGUCUAGACUUAUUUUAGUUCUAGAUACAACCAUUUUUAAGACAAGUAUUUCCGAUCGGAGGGAGUAUUUU
Triticum urartu is the source of this 115-nucleotide non-coding RNA. The record is from Rfam. Lineage: Eukaryota; Viridiplantae; Streptophyta; Magnoliopsida; Poales; Poaceae.